RNAcentral lists this ribosomal RNA (530 nucleotides) under uncultured bacterium. Its description in RNAcentral is "partial 16S ribosomal RNA". It matches the Rfam family "Bacterial small subunit ribosomal RNA", at positions 355 to 876 of the family's 1533-position model. The record is from RNAcentral.
UAGGGAAUCUUCGGCAAUGGGGGCAACCCUGACCGAGCAACGCCGCGUGAGUGAAGAAGGUUUUCGGAUCGUAAAGCUCUGUUGUAAGUCAAGAACGGGUGUGAGAGUGGAAAGUUCACACUGUGACGGUAGCUUACCAGAAAGGGACGGCUAACUACGUGCCAGCAGCCGCGGUAAUACGUAGGUCCCGAGCGUUGUCCGGAUUUAUUGGGCGUAAAGCGAGCGCAGGCGGUUUGAUAAGUCUGAAGUUAAAGGCUGUGGCUCAACCAUAGUUCGCUUUGGAAACUGUCAAACUUGAGUGCAGAAGGGGAGAGUGGAAUUCCAUGUGUAGCGGUGAAAUGCGUAGAUAUAUGGAGGAACACCGGUGGCGAAAGCGGCUCUCUGGUCUGUAACUGACGCUGAGGCUCGAAAGCGUGGGGAGCGAACAGGAUUAGAUACCCUGGUAGUCCACGCCGUAAACGAUGAGUGCUAGGUGUUGGAUCCUUUCCGGGAUUCAGUGCCGCAGCUAACGCAUUAAGCACUCCGCCUGG